This 496-nucleotide ribosomal RNA is filed under the name uncultured bacterium. RNAcentral describes it as "partial 16S ribosomal RNA". It matches the Rfam family "Bacterial small subunit ribosomal RNA", at positions 29 to 507 of the family's 1533-position model. The record is from RNAcentral.
AUGAACGCUGGCGGCGUGCCUCAUACCUGCAAGUCGAGCGAACAGACGAGGAGCUUACUCCUCUGACGUUAGCGGCGGACGGGUGAGUAACACGUGGAUAACCUACCUAUAAGACUGGGAUAACUUCGGGAAACCGGAGCUAAUACCGGAUAACAUGUUGAACCGCAUGGUUCAACAGUGAAAGACGGUCUUGCUGUCACUUAUAGAUGGAUCCGCGUCGCAUUAGCUAGUUGGUAAGGUAACGGCUUACCAAGGCAACGAUGCGUAGCCGACCUGAGAGGGUGAUCGGCCACACGGGAACUGAGACACGGUCCAGACUCCUACGGGAGGCAGCAGUAGGGAAUCUUCCGCAAUGGGCGAAAGCCUGACGGAGCAACGCCGCGUGAGUGAAGAAGGUCUUCGGAUCGUAAAACUCUGUUAUUAGGGAAGAACAAAUGUGUAAGUAACUAUGCACGUCUUGACGGUACCUAAUCAGAAAGCCACGGCUAACUACGUG